AAAGAUUCAUCGCUGAUAGAUAGGCAUGCGUUCCAUUAGGCAGUUGGCGGGGUAACGGCCCACCAAACCGACGAUGGAUAGGGGUUCUGAGAGGAAGGUCCCCCACAUUGGUACUGAGACACGGACCAAACUCCUACGGGAGGCAGCAGUGAGGAAUAUUGGUCAAUGGGCGUAAGCCUGAACCAGCCAAGUCGCGUGAGGGAUGAAGGUUCUAUGGAUCGUAAACCUCUUUUAUAAGGGAAUAAAGUGCGGGACGUGUCCCGUUUUGUAUGUACCUUAUGAAUAAGGAUCGGCUAACUCCGUGCCAGCAGCCGCGGUAAUACGGAGGAUCCGAGCGUUAUCCGGAUUUAUUGGGUUUAAAGGGUGCGUAGGCGGCCUUUUAAGUCAGCGGUGAAAGUCUGUGGCUCAACCAUAGAAUUGCCGUUGAAACUGGGAGGCUUGAGUAUGUUUGAGGCAGGCGGAAUGCGUGGUGUAGCGGUGAAAUGCUUAGAUAUCACGCAGAACCCCGAUUGCGAAGGCAGCCUGCCAAGCCAUGACUGACGCUGAUGCACGAAAGCGUGGGGAUCAAACAGGAUUAGAUACCCUGGUAGUCCACGCAGUAAACGAUGAUCACUAGCUGUUUGCGAUACACAGUAA
RNAcentral lists this ribosomal RNA (636 nucleotides) under uncultured bacterium. Its description in RNAcentral is "bacterial SSU rRNA". It matches the Rfam family "Bacterial small subunit ribosomal RNA", at positions 202 to 842 of the family's 1533-position model. The record is from RNAcentral.